GAUGAACGCUGGCGGCGUGCCUAAUACAUGCAAGUCGAGCGAACGGACGAGAAGCUUGCUUCUCUGAUGUUAGCGGCGGACGGGUGAGUAACACGUGGAUAACCUACCUAUAAGACUGGGAUAACUUCGGGAAACCGGAGCUAAUACCGGAUAAUAUUUUGAACCGCAUGGUUCAAAAGUGAAAGACGGUCUUGCUGUCACUUAUAGAUGGAUCCGCGCUGCAUUAGCUAGUUGGUAAGGUAACGGCUUACCAAGGCAACGAUGCGUAGCCGACCUGAGAGGGUGAUCGGCCACACUGGAACUGAGACACGGGCCCGACUCCCACGGGAGGGAGCAGUGGGGAAUAUUCCCCAAUGGGGGGAAACCCGAACGAGCAAACCCGCGUGGGUGAAGAAGGGCUUCGGGUUGUAAAACCCUUUUAUUAGGGAAGAAAAAAAUGUGAAAUAAACUUGGCCGUUCUGACGGUACCCAAAUAAAAAGCCCCGGCCAACUUCGUG
RNAcentral lists this ribosomal RNA (497 nucleotides) under uncultured bacterium. Its description in RNAcentral is "partial 16S ribosomal RNA". It matches the Rfam family "Bacterial small subunit ribosomal RNA", at positions 28 to 507 of the family's 1533-position model. The record is from RNAcentral.